RNAcentral lists this ribosomal RNA (447 nucleotides) under uncultured bacterium. RNAcentral's name for it is "bacterial SSU rRNA". It matches the Rfam family "Bacterial small subunit ribosomal RNA", at positions 355 to 825 of the family's 1533-position model. The record is from RNAcentral.
UCGGGAAUUUUGGGCAAUGGGGGAAACCCUGACCCAGCAACGCCGCGUGAAGGAUGAAGUAUUUCGGUAUGUAAACUUCGAAAGAAUAGGAAGAAUAAAUGACGGUACUAUUUAUAAGGUCCGGCUAACUACGUGCCAGCAGCCGCGGUAAUACGUAGGGACCAAGCGUUAUCCGGAAUCACUGGGCGUAAAGGGUGUCGAGGCGGUUGUAUUAGUCGUUCGUAAAAUCUACGAGCUUAACUUGUAGGCGGCGAACGAAACGGUACGACUUGAGGUUUGGAGAGGUGCGUGGAACUCACGGUGUAGGGGUGAAAUCCGUUGAUAUCGUGGGGAACACCAAAGGCGAAGGCAGCGCACUGGCCAAAAUCUGACGCUCACACACGAAAGCUAGGGUAGCGAAGAGGAUUAGAUACCCACGUAGUCCCUGAGCGGGCUGGCAAGGCGCAU